This 494-nucleotide ribosomal RNA is filed under the name uncultured bacterium. Its description in RNAcentral is "partial 16S ribosomal RNA". It matches the Rfam family "Bacterial small subunit ribosomal RNA", at positions 28 to 507 of the family's 1533-position model. The record is from RNAcentral.
GACGAACGCUGGCGGCGUGCUUAACACAUGCAAGUCGAACGGUGAAGCGCCUUCCUUUUUGGUGGGUGUGGAUGAGUGGCGAACGGGUGAGUAACACGUGAGUAACCUGCCCCCUUCUUCUGGAUAACCGCAUGAAAGUGUGGCUAAUACGGGAUAUUCUGGGUCUGUCGCAUGAUGGGUCUGGGAAAGUUAUUGUUUCGGUGGGGGAUGGGCUCGCCGCCUAUCAGAUUGUUGGUGGGGUGAAUGCCUAACAAGGCGGUGACGGGUAGCCGGCCUGAGAGGGUGGACUGUCUCACUGGGACAGAGACACGGCUCAGACUCCGACGGGAGGCAGCGGUGGUGAAUACUGCACAAUGGGCGUAAGCCUGAUACUGCGGCGCCGCGUAGGGGAUACAAGCCUGCGGGUUGUGAACCUCUUUCGCCAGUGAAGCAGGCCUGCCUCGUUUGUGGGUGGGUUGGCGGUAGCUGGAUAAGAAGCGCCGGCUAACUACGUG